Dioscorea cayenensis subsp. rotundata (Guinea yam) is the source of this 107-nucleotide small nucleolar RNA. NCBI's taxonomy places the organism in Eukaryota, Viridiplantae, Streptophyta, Magnoliopsida, Dioscoreales, Dioscoreaceae. The record is from RefSeq and is a predicted model, not a curated record.
AUCCCUUGUUGAGGACACUUCUUCAAUGACUACUUCUACUGUUCCCAUGCUUUGUACAAGGUUUUGGACUCCAUAUGUCGAAAAGAAGAUAUGUCAUUUAUGAGCUU